AGCGAACGCUGGCGGCAGGCUUAACACAUGCAAGUCGAACGCCCCGCAAGGGGAGUGCAGACGGGUGAGUAACACGUGGGAACGUACCCUUUGGUUCGGAAUAACUUGGGGAAACUCAAGCUAAUACCGGAUAAGCCCUUAUGGGGAAAGGUUUACUGCCGAAGGAUCGGCCCGCGUCUGAUUAGCUAGUUGGUGAGGUAACGGCUCACCAAGGCGACGAUCAGUAGCUGGUCUGAGAGGAUGAUCAGCCUCACUGGGACUGAGACACGGCCCAGACUCCUACGGGAGGCAGCAGUGGGGAAUAUUGGACAAUGGGGGCAACCCUGAUCCAGCCAUGCCGCGUGAGUGAUGAAGGCCUUAGGGUUGUAAAGCUCUUUUACCCGGGACGAUAAUGACUGUACCGGGAGAAUAAGCCCCGGCUAACUUCGUGCCAGCAGCCGCCGUAA
Molecule: ribosomal RNA, 446 nt
Filed under: uncultured bacterium
Lineage: Bacteria
Description: partial 16S ribosomal RNA
Rfam family: Bacterial small subunit ribosomal RNA
Source: RNAcentral